UGAUGACUGUUCCUCUUGCUGUCACAAGCCUUGGACAGUGGGAUUUUGUGUCAUCAAAUAUUGAAACUGGCCUUUCUUCACUCAAGGUGCCUUUGGAUGGAUUUGGCCAUCUGCUAGCACUUUUGAAUUUUGCGGGGCCAGACAUUC
Molecule: small nucleolar RNA, 147 nt
Organism: Rhineura floridana
Lineage: Eukaryota; Metazoa; Chordata; Lepidosauria; Squamata; Rhineuridae
Product: small nucleolar RNA SNORA79
Exons: 1
Source: RefSeq, a predicted model, not a curated record